Molecule: transfer RNA, 75 nt
Filed under: Anaerostipes hadrus
Lineage: Bacteria; Bacillati; Bacillota; Clostridia; Lachnospirales; Lachnospiraceae
Description: tRNA-Pro
Rfam family: tRNA
About the family: Transfer RNA (tRNA) molecules are approximately 80 nucleotides in length. Their secondary structure includes four short double-helical elements and three loops (D, anti-codon, and T loops).
Source: RNAcentral
CGGGGUGUGGCUCAGCUUGGCUAGAGCGCUUGAUUUGGGAUCCAGAGGUCGCAGGUUCGAAUCCUGUCACCCCGA